GACGAACGCUGGCGGCGUGCUUAACACAUGCAAGUCGAACGCUGAAGCUCAGCUUUUGUUGGGUGGAUGAGUGGCGAACGGGUGAGUAACACGUGAGUAACCUGCCCCCUUCUUUGGGAUAACGCCCGGAAACGGGUGCUAAUACUGGAUAUUCACUGGUCUUCGCAUGGGGGUUGGUGGAAAGGGUUUUUCUGGUGGGGGAUGGGCUCGCGGCCUAUCAGCUUGUUGGUGGGGUGAUGGCCUACCAAGGCUUUGACGGGUAGCCGGCCUGAGAGGGUGACCGGUCACAUUGGGACUGAGAUACGGCCCAGACUCCUACGGGGGGCAGCAGUGGGGAAUAUUGCACAAUGGGCGCAAGCCUGAUGCAGCGACGCCGCGUGAGGGAUGGAGGCCUUCGGGUUGUGAACCUCUUUCGCUCAUGGUCAAGCCGCAACAAUGGUUGUGGUGAGGGUAGUGGGUAAAGAAACGCCGGCUAACUACGU
Molecule: ribosomal RNA, 482 nt
Filed under: uncultured bacterium
Lineage: Bacteria
Description: partial 16S ribosomal RNA
Rfam family: Bacterial small subunit ribosomal RNA
Source: RNAcentral